CCUACGGGUGGCAGCAGUGGGGAAUAUUGCACAAUGGGCGAAAGCCUGAUGCAGCAACGCCGCGUGAAGGAAGAAGGGUUUCGGCUCGUAAACUUCUAUCAACAGGGACGAAAGAAAUGACGGUACUUGCAUUAGAAGCUCCCGCUAACUACGUGCCAGCAGCCGCGGUACUACGUAGGGGGCAAGCGUUAUCCGGAAUUACUGGGCGUAAAGGGUGAGUAGGCGGCAUGGUAAGCCAGAUGUGAAAGCCUUGGGCUUAACCUGAGGAUUGCAUUUGGAACUGUCAAGCUUGAGUACAGGAGAGGAAAGCGGAAUGCCUAGUGUAGCGGUGAAAUGCGUAGAUAUUAGGAAGAACACCAGUGGCGAAGGCGGCCUUCUGGACUGAAACUGACGCUGAGGCACGAAAGCGUGGGGAGCGAACAGGAUUAGAUACCCGUGUAGUC
RNAcentral lists this ribosomal RNA (443 nucleotides) under uncultured bacterium. RNAcentral's name for it is "partial 16S ribosomal RNA". It matches the Rfam family "Bacterial small subunit ribosomal RNA", at positions 338 to 795 of the family's 1533-position model. The record is from RNAcentral.